CCUACGGGUGGCAGCAGUAGGGAAUCUUCCACAAUGGGCGAAAGCCUGAUGGAGCAACGCCGCGUGGGCGAAGAAGGUCUUCGGAUCGUAAAACCCUGUUGUUAGAGAAGAAAGUGCGUGAGAGUAACUGUUCACGUUUCGACGGUAUCUAACCAGAAAGCCACGGCUAACUACGUGUCAGCAGCCGCGGUAAUACGUAGGUGGCAAGCGUUAUCCGGAUUUAUUGGGCGUAAAGGGAACGCAGGCGGUCUUUUAAGUCUGAUGUGAAAGCCUUCGGCUUAACCGGAGUAGUGCAUUGGAAACUGGGAGACUUGAGUGCAGAAGAGGAGAGUGGAACUCCAUGUGUAGCGGUGAAAUGCGUAGAUAUAUGGAAGAACACCAGUGGCGAAAGCGGCUCUCUGGGCUGUAACUGACGCUGAGGUUCGAAAGCGUGGGUAGCAAACAGGAUUAGAUACCCCAGUAGUC
This 465-nucleotide ribosomal RNA is filed under the name uncultured bacterium. Its description in RNAcentral is "partial 16S ribosomal RNA". It matches the Rfam family "Bacterial small subunit ribosomal RNA", at positions 338 to 795 of the family's 1533-position model. The record is from RNAcentral.